CUACGGGGGGCACCAGUGAGGAAUUUUGCGCAAUGGGGGAAACCCUGACGCAGCAACGCCGCGUGAGUGAUGAAGGCCUUCGGGUCGUAAAGCUCUGUCAAGUGGGAAGAACCUAUCGAUAUUGAAUAUAUAUUGAUACUGACGGUACCACAAGAGGAAGCACCGGCUAACUCCGUGCCAGCAGCCGCGGUAAUACGGGGGGUGCAAGCGUUAUUCGGAAUCAUUGGGCGUAAAGGGCGCGCAGGCGGCCUUGUAAGUCAGAUGUGAAAGCCCGGGGCUCAACCCCGGAAGCGCAUUUGAAACUAUGAGGCUUGAGUAUGGGAGAGGGAAGUGGAAUUCCUGGUGUAGCGGUGAAAUGCGUAGAUAUCAGGAGGAACACCGGUGGCGAAGGCGACUUCCUGGACCAAUACUGACGCUGAGGCGCGAAGGCGUGGGGAGCAAACAGGAUUAGAUACCCUGGUAGUC
This 465-nucleotide ribosomal RNA is filed under the name uncultured bacterium. RNAcentral describes it as "partial 16S ribosomal RNA". It matches the Rfam family "Bacterial small subunit ribosomal RNA", at positions 339 to 795 of the family's 1533-position model. The record is from RNAcentral.